GAGCCGUUAGCUCAGUUGGUAGAGCACCUGACUUUUAAUCAGGGGGUCCAGGGUUCGAAUCCCUGACGGCUCACCA
This 76-nucleotide transfer RNA is filed under the name Candidatus Rokuibacteriota bacterium. RNAcentral describes it as "tRNA-Lys". It matches the Rfam family "tRNA". From Rfam's summary of the family: Transfer RNA (tRNA) molecules are approximately 80 nucleotides in length. Their secondary structure includes four short double-helical elements and three loops (D, anti-codon, and T loops). Further hydrogen bonds mediate the characteristic L-shaped molecular structure. tRNAs have two regions of fundamental functional importance: the anti-codon, which is responsible for specific mRNA codon recognition, and the 3' end, to which the tRNAs corresponding amino acid is attached (by aminoacyl-tRNA synthetases). tRNAs cope with the degeneracy of the genetic code in two manners: having more than one tRNA (with a specific anti-codon) for a particular amino acid; and 'wobble' base-pairing, i.e. permitting non-standard base-pairing at the 3rd anti-codon position. The record is from RNAcentral. RNAcentral also lists the same sequence under 2 other names. Lineage: Bacteria; Candidatus Rokuibacteriota.